CCCCAUUCCUAUUUUAUGGGUAACCAGCCUAGGCAGUCCACAGCCUCACUCACUGUUCCCUCUCCGGCGCUGCUGAAUUGUAAGCUAGUAACCUUCGUCGACGGCGUUUCAGAAAAAAUGGGUGAUCAGAAGUCACGGCGCGAACAGCGAAAAGAAGCUCGGCAAGCAAAGGCUCAGCAAAAACAUCAAUCUUGGAUGGAACAUCAGAAAUUACAAAAUCAUAAGGGUGCUCAACAAGCUAAGAGAACGUUUGGGGGCUCAAGGCAUGUGAACAGAUCAAAAAGUUCAUUUACUCAAAAUUUGAGAGAAGGAGAAGGAAGACAACAAGAUACUAACCAUGAGACAAAUCAGAGUACAGAGAAAAUGAAUGUGAGAAAGAAAAUGAAAGUUAAAUCAGAGUCAUUGAGCCAUGAUUGUUCCACUACUUCAAAGAAAGAAAGCAGGGGCUUGAAGAGAAAUUUGAAAACAAAGUUUGAAGAGUUUAUUGAAAUGGAUAUGAAAAAUGCUGACGUGUUGGCACAGGAGGAUCUAGUAAUGGAGAGGAGACUUGCCAAGAAGCUUAAGGUGAAGGAAGGAAAAUUGAGGGGGAUGGAUGAUGAAAUCAAUUUGUUAUUAAGCGGGAUUCCAUCUGUGCAUGAAUCAUUUGAUGAAGUCCCACUUGGUAAAGAGUUUCCCAUCGAGAAAAUUGAUAAUGGAACUUUGGAUAAGAAACUUAAGAAGCAAAAGUCCUUAGAUGAUUUUUCAGGUAAUGAGAUAGCUGCUGAUAUUAUGGGUGGGGUUUGUAAACCAGAGGAAACAUCUGAUGUAGAGAUGGGACUGGAAGAAAGUGCCAAAACAACUUCACAUAAGAAAGACAGAAAGAGAAAGAAGAAGAACAAAAAUCAAGGCAUCAGUGUAGCGGGGGUCGCAACUAAUAGUGAGAUAGCUGAUGACAUUAUGGAUGGAGUUUCUGAGCCAGAGGAAAACUCUGGUGCAGAGCUGGGUGGGGAAGAAGGUGUGACCAAGAUUUCUUCACUUAAGAAAUGUAGAAAGAGAAAGAAGUCUAAGGAAAAUGAAGAAGGUAACAUAGUAGGAGACACAUCUAAUGGUGUAUCUACAAAAGCAGAAGCCCAUGAGGCAGAUGUGGCAUUACAGGAAGCUCCUACCAUUGCACCCACACCAGGGAGUAGUGUGAAAUAUGUAGCUCCUCACUUGAUAUCCCGUAUAGGGAAUAAGUCAGAGGAGCAUACUCAAAUCCAUAGACGGGUUCGCGGUCUUCUGAAUAGGCUGUCUGAAUCUAAUGUGGAAUCAUUUACUGGGCAAAUGGCUACUAUCUUUCUUUCUGUUAGUCGCAAUAUCAGUUCUCAAAUUAUCAGUGAUGAGGUGUUGGCAGCUUGUUCUGGUGGUCCUCGUGGCAAUGAACAGUAUGCUGCUGUUUUUGCAGCAUUCGUUGCGGGCAUGGCUUGUUCUGUUGGAAUGGACUUCAGCGCAAAGCUUAUAGCUUCACUUGCCAAGUGUUUUGAGGUGCACCUUAUGCAUUUGGAAAAUGAUGUCAUUAAAGCUGAAGCCUUUGUUUUGAUUUUUAUGGUUACUAGAUUAAUGAUAAUGAACUUUUUGGUUUUAAGUGGUGAAAUAUUUAAUUGCGUGAGGGAUUAUAGGUCUACUGUGUCUUCUCAGACACUUGAAGCUUUCAUUUUUGUUUUUCCAUGUCCGAAUGAUUCUAAAAUUACUGAAAACAAUCCUUUCUGUUUGCCAUGCAGGAUGAGUAUCUCAAAGAAGACAAUCUUUCCUUGCGAAAUCUGACACUUCUGUUGUCCUACUUAUGUACAUUUGGAGUUUGUUCUAGGUGGGUUGCCUAUUGAUUUUGCUAAAAGAAAACCUAGUAAGAAGCAUUACCUGACUGCACAAAUAAAUACCAUGUCCAUUGUACGAUCAAGUGAGGAAAUAAUUGGUCAUUCUUUUCACAUUUUGCUAUAAUGAGUACUUGUAAGAUUGAUAUUACUCAUUAUAGAUAAGUAUAGCAACCAGUGGAAUCUGACCCCAAUUUCAUUGCCAAAUUCCUAAGACAAGCUUUAUGUGUUUGUCUCAUUUUUUUCCCAAAAAAAUCUGUUUCACCGGUUCAUAAUUUUUUAACACCAAAUUUAUGCCGAUGGCAUUACUUUUGAUGUUUUUCAGUGAUUUGAUAUAUGACUUUCUGAUUAUGUUGAGCAAGCGGUUGACAGAGAUUGACGUCUCUACUAUCUUGACAGUUCUACAGUGCUGUGGCAUGAAAAUAAGAGCUGAUGAUCCCACUGCCAUGAAAAACUUCAUUCAGAGUGUUCAGAGUAGGGUGAAUGAGCUGAAGUCCUCUCCUGGAGAAGACCAGGCAAAAAUGAUUGGCAAAAGAAUGGAAUUCAUGCUUGAAACCAUAUGCGACAUCAAAAACAACAAGAAGAGGCCUAAGGAUGAUAGUGCACAACACACAAGAAUUAAAAAAUGGCUGCAAAAGCUAAGAGUUCAAGAAAUUCUUCUUAGAGGGCUCAAAUGGAGCAGGCUGCUUGAUCCUGAUAAGAAGGGCCAAUGGUGGCUGUCAGGUGAUACGGCUAUCACCGUAGAUGAUGUUGAAGAGGUUGCCAAUACAAUUGACAAAGAGGUUGUGGAAGCACAAAAGAUGCUGCAGCUUGCUGCUUUACAGAGGAUGAAUACAGAUGCUAGAAAGGCAAUCUUUUGUAUAUUAAUGAGCGGUGAGGACUAUAUUGAUGCAUUUGAGAAGCUUCUAAGACUGGAUUUGCCAGGAAAGCAGGACAGAGAGAUUAUCCGGGUUCUUGUAGAAUGCUGCUUGCAAGAGAAGGUGUUUAACAAGUAUUAUACUGUUCUGGCUUCCAAGUUGUGUGGGCAUGACAAAAAUCACAAGUAUACUUUACAGUAUUGCCUUUGGGACCACUUCAAAGAGCUCGAGUUCAUGCCACUUUUAAGAUCCAUGCACUUAGCCAAAUUUGCAGCAGAGAUGGUUGCCUCCUUCACCCUCUCUCUUUCAGUUUUGAAGAGCGUCGAAUUGAGUGAUGCCGGGUGGCUAACUUCAAAAAGGAUCAUGCAUUUUCGGAUGCUGUUUGAGGCCUUAUUUGAGUAUCCUGAUAGUGUUGUAUGGAAUGCGUUUACACGAGUAGCUAUUGACCCUCAGUUAGAAACUCUGCGUAAUGGUAUCGAGUUCUUCAUCAGGGAGUAUGUUGUGAAAACUAAUAAUGCAAUUGUUAAGAAAUUCAAGAUUGUUAAGAAAGCCCUCAACAAUGUGGAAGGAGUCCUCAUGUGAACCAAGAUUUUGCCUUGAUUUUCUUGGCAAGGCCUGAUUUUGUAGUUCUUUCGCAUGUUUGAGUUGGUGCCAAAUUAUUAUUUUCAUUAUUCAAUUUUCUGAGGAUUGUGCAGGGAAUCGAGUGAAAUGAAAUAGAAGAGUUUGAAACUUGCGUAAUUAAGCUUCAGGAAUUAUACGUUUCACAUUUCUGACGCUUGUAAGAUCACUAGUAAUAGAGUACUAAAAUGUUUCAAGUACAAUCUUAUUGUCUAAAAUACUGCAAGAGUAAGAAAAUAUCUGAAAUACUUGCAUGAUUCAUCCAGUAAUCAUUGAUGCCUUCGCAUUUUUUGCUUAUUUUAUCCA
RNAcentral lists this unclassified non-coding RNA (3610 nucleotides) under Hevea brasiliensis (rubber tree). Lineage: Eukaryota; Viridiplantae; Streptophyta; Magnoliopsida; Malpighiales; Euphorbiaceae. The record is from RNAcentral.